Molecule: ribosomal RNA, 394 nt
Filed under: uncultured bacterium
Lineage: Bacteria
Description: bacterial SSU rRNA
Rfam family: Bacterial small subunit ribosomal RNA
Source: RNAcentral
UUACCAGCUUGACAUGAAUGAAAGCCCUUCCGGCGCAGGUGUUGCAUGGCUGUCGUCAGCUCGUGUCGUGAGAUGUUGGGUUAAGUCCCGCAACGAGCGCAACCCUAUUUUAGUUACAAACUUGUAAAGGACUCUAGAAGACCGCCGUGUAAGCGGAGGAAGGUGGGGAUGACGUCAAGUCAGUACGGCCCUUACGCUGGGCUACACACGUGCUACAAUGGGGUACAAAGGGCACCGCGAGGGGAGCAAUCCCAAACCGCCUCAGUUCGGAUUGCAGGCUGCAAUUCGCCUGCAUGAAGCUGGAAUCAUUAGUAACCCUGAUCAGCACGUAGGGUGAAUACGUUCCCGGGUCUUGUACACACCGCCCGUCAAGUCACCGAAGUGGGUGACCGAA